CCCUUAAGUUUGAUCCUGGCUCAGCCUGAACGCUGGCGGCGUGGUUAAGACAUGCAAGUCGCACGGGGCCCGCAAGGGUUCAGUGGCGAACGGGUGAGUAAUGUGUCGCUAACGUGCCCCGGACUCCGGGAUAGCCGUCCGAAAGGGCGGGUAAUACCGGGUAACAUCACGCGGAGGCAUCUCCGUGUGCUCAAAGGUCCGCCGGUCCGGGAGCGGGCGACAUCGUAUCAGCUAGUUGGUAAGGUAACGGCUUACCAAGGCGACGACGCGUAGCCGGACUGAGAGGUCGGCCGGCCACAUCGGGACUGAGACACUGCCCGGACUCCUACGGGGGGCUGCAGUAACGAAUCUUCCCCAAUGCACGAAAGUGUGAGGGAGCGACGCCGCGUGUGGGACGAAGUCCUUCGGGAUGUAAACCACUGUCAGGGGUUACCAAGUUCUGAGGAGCCCCAGAGGAAGUGGCGGCUAACUCUG
This 474-nucleotide ribosomal RNA is filed under the name uncultured bacterium. Its description in RNAcentral is "bacterial SSU rRNA". It matches the Rfam family "Bacterial small subunit ribosomal RNA", at positions 1 to 505 of the family's 1533-position model. The record is from RNAcentral.